RNAcentral lists this ribosomal RNA (253 nucleotides) under uncultured bacterium. Its description in RNAcentral is "partial 16S ribosomal RNA". It matches the Rfam family "Bacterial small subunit ribosomal RNA", at positions 524 to 776 of the family's 1533-position model. The record is from RNAcentral.
UACAUGGGGUGCAAACGUUGCUCGGAAUUACUGGGCGUAAAGCGCGCGCAGGCGGCUCUUCAAGUCAGGGGUGAAAGCCCAGAGCUCAACUCUGGAACUGCCUUUGAGACUGAAGAGCUUGAGUACGGGAGAGGUGAGUGGAAUUCCCAGUGUAGAGGUGAAAUUCGUAGAUAUUGGGAAGAACACCGGUGGCGAAGGCGGGUCGCUGGACAAGUAUUGACGCUGAGGUGCGAAAGCGUGGGGAGCAAACAGG